UUAAAUACGUGCAGUCGAGCGAAUCGAUGGGAGCUUGUCCCUGAGAUUAGCGGGCGGACGGGUGAGUAACACGUGGGCAACCUGCGUAAUAAGACUGGGAUAACUUCGGGAAACCGGAGCUAAUACCGGAUACGUUCUUUUCUCGCAUGAGAGAAGAUGGAAAGACGGUUUACGCUGUCACUUAUAGAUGGGCCCGCGGCGAUUAGCUAGUUGGUGAGGUAAUGGCUCACCAAGGCGACGAUGCGUAGCCGGCCCUGAGAGGGGGAUCGGGCCACACUGGGACUGAGACACGGCCCAAGACUCCCUACGGGAAGGCAGCAGUAGGGAAUUCUUUCCGCAUUGGACAAAAGCCUGACGGGAGCAAACGCCGCGUGAACGAAAGAAGGGCCUUCGGGUCGUAAAGGUCUUGUGGUUAGGGGAAGAACAAGUACCCAGAGUAACUGCUGGAACUUUGACGGGAACCUAACCAGAAAAGCCACGGCUAACUACGUGGCCAGCAGCCGCGGAAUUACGUAGGUGGCAAGCCGUUGUCGGGAAUUAUGGGGCGUAAAGCGCGCGCAGGGGGGUCCCUUAAAGUCUGAUGUGAAAGCCCCACGGUUCACCGGGGAGGGGCAUUGGAAACUGGGGGAACUUGAGUGCAGAAGAGGAAGGGGAAUUCCAAGUGUAGCGGUGAAUGCGUAGAGAUUUUGGAGGGAACACCAGUGGCGAAGGCCGACUUUUCUGGUCUGUAACUGACACUGAGGCGCGAAAGCGUGGGGCAGCAAACAGGGAUUAGAUACCCUGGUAGUCCACGGCGUCAACGAUGAGUGCUCAGUGCUAGAGGGUUCCGCUCUUUAGGUGCUGGCAGCUUAACGCAUAGGUCAUCA
This 866-nucleotide ribosomal RNA is filed under the name Peribacillus frigoritolerans. RNAcentral's name for it is "bacterial SSU rRNA". It matches the Rfam family "Bacterial small subunit ribosomal RNA", at positions 47 to 869 of the family's 1533-position model. The record is from RNAcentral. Lineage: Bacteria; Bacillati; Bacillota; Bacilli; Caryophanales; Bacillaceae.